RNAcentral lists this long non-coding RNA (4908 nucleotides) under Sus scrofa (pig). RNAcentral describes it as "lncRNA (ENSSSCG00040070938.1)". The record is from RNAcentral. Lineage: Eukaryota; Metazoa; Chordata; Mammalia; Artiodactyla; Suidae.
CAGGGAUCAAACCUGCAUCCUCAUGGAUACUAGUUGGGUUUAUUACCACUGAGGCAAAACAGGAACUCCAAGAUUUUCUUUUUAUCACUGGUUUUGAGCAAUUUGAUUAUGAUGUGUCUUGGGUCAUUCUCUGCAUGUUUCUUAUGCUUGGAAUUAAUUUCAUUUCUUGAAUUCAUUGGGUAAUAGUGUCUUUUUUAUCAAGUUUGAAAAAAAAUUGGCUAUUAUUUCUUCAAAUAGUUUUUCUUGUCUCUCCACCCCCCACCUCUCCUCUCCUCUGGAGAUUCCAAUUACUUAUAUAUUAGUCUCCUUAAAGUCCCACAAUUCAAUGAUGUUCUCAUAUUAACAAAAAACCUUUUUUCUCUAUGUGUUUCAUUUUGGAUCCUUUCUAGUGCCAUGCAUUUAGAUUCACUAAUAUUUUCUUCUACCAUAUCUAAUCUGUCAUUAAUCCUGUCUCAUACACUGAUAUUUUUCCUCUUAGACAUGGUAGCUUUCAAUUCUAGAUGUUCAUUUUUAAAAACCAUCAUCUAUGUAUGUACUUAACUUUUUGAACAUAUGGAAUAUAGUUAUAAUGACUGUUUUAAUGUGAUUGUAUGCCAAUUUUAACAUCUGUUGUCUGUUCUGGGUUUGAUUCAGUUCAUUGAUUAUUCUCCUCAAUCAUGGAUCAUGUUUUUCUACUUCUUUUUUAUGGCUGGUUAAUAUUUUAUUAGAUCUCAGACAUUAUGAAUUUUGCUUUGUUGAGUCCUGGCUAUUUUUAUAUUCCUGUAAAUAUUCUUGUGGUUUUUUUCCCCUUAGGAUGAUGUAGCUAAAUUACUUGGAAAGAGUUGAUCCUUUUGAAUCUUGCUUUUAUGAUUCGUUAGGCAGAUCUAGAGCAUUGCUCAGUGUAGGGCUCAUUAUUCCUUAUUACUGAGGCAAGAGCUUCCUGCAUAUUCCACCCAAUAACCCAUGAAUUAUUAGCUUUUCUGGUCUGGCACAUGGAAGUGUUGCUAUCUCUGGCUCUGUGUGAGGUUUGGGCCCUGUUUGCUAAUCUUUUCAUAUUGUUCCCGCCCAACCCCACUGUGGAUGGCUUUCUCACAUAUAUGAACUUACCAGUACUCAGCUGAAUGUUUAGAAGGGCCCCUCUGUAGAUUUCCAGGGUCCUCGCGCUCUGAACAUCUUCCUCUUUGCUACUCUGAGCUGCUUUUAUUUCAUCAGAUGCUUAGGUUUGGCCCUUCAACCAGAGGAGUCCGCUAGGCUCCACCUGGAUUCCCUCUCCCUCUCUCAAAGCCUGUAAACUCCAAGGAAGUAAGCUGUAGGAAUUGCAGGGCUCACUUGUUUUAUUUCCUGUUUCUCAGAAAUUAUUCUCCUUCAUUUCCUGAUGUCCCAUUGUCUUUGAAAGUGUGGUUUCUUAUAUUGUGCCUGUUUUAAAAAAAAUAUUGUGUUGGAUGAGAGGGUAAAUCUUAGCCCUGUUACUCCUUCUUGAAUCUAUAAUUGACUACUUCAAGAUAAAAUAAUGUAUUUGAGGUUUAAAACAUAAGUAGAAGUAACAUGUAUGGGGACAAUAUACAAGGAAUGGAACAGGAGAAAUGGAUGUGUACUGUUGUAAGGUUUUUACAAUAUAUGUGAACUGGCACAGUGUUACUUGAAAGUAGACUUUGAUAAGUCAAACAUGUGUAAUGUAAACCCUUAGAGCAACUAAGAAUCAAAAAAACAUCCAAUAAUAGGAAAUGGUAACCAAAACCCCACAUAGGACAGAUUUUACUUUAUUUUUGACUGCACCUGUAGCAUGUAGAAGUCCCCAGGCCAUGGAUCGAACCUGUGCCACAGCAGCGACCUGUACUGUUUCAGUGACAACACCAGAUUCUUAACCUGUUGUGCUACAAAGGAAUUCCUAGGACAGAUUUUUAAAAAUAACAGGAUGGUAAAUUUAAACCAGUGAUAUAAAUAAUUACACUAAGUAUAAUAUCAUUUAAAUACUCCAGUUAAAAGGCAGAAAUUUGAAGAUAGGAUAAAAUGGCAAGACCUAACUAUAUGUCAUCUAUAAGAAGCCUACUUUAUAUGACAGGUUAAAACUAAAAAGAUGGACAAAUAUUUAUAGUGCAAAGCUUAAUUCAAAGAAAUUUCAAGUGAUUGUACCAUACAAAGUAGACUUCAGAACAAGGAAUAUUACCAGGGAUAAAGAGAGACAUUAAAUGAUGAUAAAUGGAUCAGUUAAUCAAAAGGACAUUACCAUCAUCCUAAAUGUGUAUAUACUGAACAUCAGAGCUUCAAUAUAUAUGAAACAAAAAGUGAUAGAGCUAAAAAAAGACAUAGACAAAUCUAUAGUUAUAGAUGGAGAUUUCAACAUUCUUCUCGGUAAUUGGCAGAACAAGUACACAAAAACCCAGUAAGAAUAGAGAAGGAUUUAACAACAUUAUCCAUCAACUUGACCUAAUUGACGUUUAUGGAACACUCCACCCAACAGCAUCUGGAUGUGCAUUCUUUUCAAGUGCUCAUGGAACAUUUACAAAGAUAGAGCACAUUCUGAGCCAUAAAGCUAAAUAAAAAAUAUGAGACUCAUACAAAUCAUUUUCUCUGAAUGCAACAGAAAUAAAUUUGAAAUCAAUAACAAAAACAUAACUGGAAAAUCCCCAAAUAUUUGUUGAUUAAAUGGCAUAUUCUUAAGUAAACAAUGGGCCAAAGAGGAAAUCACAAGGGAAAUCAGAAGAUAUUUUACACUGAAUGAAAACGAAAACAAAGCAUAUCUAAGUGUGUGUGGUGCAUCUCAGGCAGUGCUUAGAGAGAAAUUUAUAGCAUUAAAUGGUUGUAUUAGAAGAAGAAAGGUCUUAUUAGAUCAAUUAUUUGUUAUACCAUAAAGUAUUUUUGGUUUAUAAAAAAUAUUUUUAUAAUUAUAUAAAAAAGCAAAUUAAAAUCAAAAGGAAAAGAGAAAUAAUAAAGAGAAAAAUUUUAUUUUAUUUUUUUGGCUGUCCCAUGGCAUAUGGAGUUCCCAGACCAGGGAUCAGAUCUGAGCUGCAGUUGUGACCUAGAUCCCAGUUGUGGCAAUGCCAGAUCCUUAAUCCACUGUGCUGGCUGGGUAUUGAACCUGCAUCCCAGGGCUCCAGAGACACCACUAAUCCCAUUGUGCCACAGAGGGAACUCCAAGAGAGGAAAAUUUUAAAAAUAGAAAAAGAAUGGGGUGGGAAGGAGGGGAGGGGAAAAGAGAGAGAGAGACUGACUUCAAAAGCUGGCUCUUUGAAAAUAUCAAUAAAAUUGACAAAUAUCCAGCCAUAUUAAUCUGGCAAAAAAGGGAGAGAAGACACAAAUUACAAAAAUCAGGAAUAAAAGAGGGACUAUUACAAUAGAUUCUACGGAUAUUAAAAGGAAAAUGCAGAGUUCGCUUGUGGUUCAGCAGGUUAAGGAUCUGGCACUGUCACUUCUGUGGCUCUGGUUAUAGCUGUGGUGCGGGUUUAGUGCGAGUUUACAGUGUGGUGCGGGUUUCUGGACAUUUCAUAUGAAUGGGAUUAUAAAAUACAUGACCUUUUGUGUCUGGAUUCUUUCACGUAGCAUAAAUUCCCUGGCCCAGGAAUUUCCACAUGUUGCAGGCACAGCAAAAAAAAGGUAAUGUGAAAAUAUUAUAAACAAACUUCAACCAAUAAAUUCCACAACUAGACAAAAUGGGCAAAAUACCUGAAAUGCACAAACCACCAAAUCUCACUCUGGAAGAAAUAAAAAUUCUGAAUAGCCUUUAACCUACUUUUUAUUGAGCUAUAAUUCAUAUAACACAAUUUCAUGACCAUCUUCAAGCAUACAGUUCAGAGGUUUUUAGCACAUUCGCAGGGUUGUACAACAAUCAGCUCCAUCUAACUCCAGGCUGUUUUCAGCGCCCUAGAAAGAAACCCCAUACCUAUUACUAGUCAUUCCUCAUUUCCUUCUUUCCCCAACCCAUGAUAGUACUAUUUUACUUGCAGUCCUUAUGGAGUUGCCAAUUCUGGACAAUUCAUAUGAAUGGGAUCAUAAAAGACAUGACCUUUUGUGUCUGGAUUCUUUCACGUAGCAUAAAUGUUCAAGACGAAUCCAUGUUUUACCAUGUAUCAGUACUUCAUUCUUGAUUAUAGUUGAAUAAUCUAUCUUAUGGACAUACCACAUUUUGUUGAUGGACAUUUAGGUUUCUACUUUUUUACUGUUAUGAAUAAUGUUUCAGUGAAUGUUCCUCUACAGGUUUUUGUGUGCACAUAUAUUUUCACUUUUGGUCAUGUACCUAGGAGUGGAAUUUCUGGGUCAUAUGGUAACCCAUUUUAACUUUUUUAGAAACUGCCAAACUGUUUUCCAUAGCAACUGCCCCAUUUUACAUUACUACCAGCAAUGUCUGAAGGUUCCAAUUACUCCACAUCCUUGUCAAGAUUUGCUCAUUAAAAAACAAAAAAGAAAAAAUAGCCAGGAGUUCCCGUCAUGGCUCAGUGGUUAACAAAUCCGUUAGGAACCAUGAGGUUGCAGGUUUGAUCCCUGGCCUUGCUCAGUGGGUUAGGGAUCUGGCAUUAGCUACCAUUGCCGGCCUGCGCCAGGCCUGCACGGGCACGGCCACACCAGAGCUGAGCCGCAUCUGCACACUAUACCAUAGCUCAGGGCAACUCCAGAUCCUUAACCCACUGAGUGAGGCCAGGGAUCGAACCUGGAUCCUCAUGCAUAAUAGACAGAUUUCUUUCUGCUGAGCCACAAUGGGAACUCCUUGAACAUCUUUUUGUAUGCUUAUUGGCCAUUUGUAUAUCUUUGGAGAAAUGUCCAUCCAAAUCUUUUGCCUAUUAUUUUAAAAACUGGAUUAUUUGUCUUUUUUUUCUUUUUUUAUUUAUCUUUUUCCUGCUAUACAGCAUGGGGAUCAAGUUAUACUUACAUGUAUACAUUCCCCCCCCCCUUUGUUCUGUUGCAAUAUGAGUAUCUAGUCCUAGUUCUCAAUGC